This 88-nucleotide transfer RNA is filed under the name Ceraceosorus bombacis. It matches the Rfam family "tRNA". From Rfam's summary of the family: Transfer RNA (tRNA) molecules are approximately 80 nucleotides in length. The record is from Rfam by way of RNAcentral. Lineage: Eukaryota; Fungi; Basidiomycota; Exobasidiomycetes; Ceraceosorales; Ceraceosoraceae.
GGUUUCGUAGCUCAGCAGCAGAGCGUCAGACUUCGAUUGUUUGGCAUCUGAAAUCUGAAUGUCGCGGGUUCAAUCCCCGUCGAAGCCU